RNAcentral lists this unclassified non-coding RNA (456 nucleotides) under uncultured Clavulina. Its description in RNAcentral is "sequence contains ITS2". The stretch from base 1 to 154 matches the Rfam family "5.8S ribosomal RNA". The record is from RNAcentral. Lineage: Eukaryota; Fungi; Basidiomycota; Agaricomycetes; Cantharellales; Hydnaceae.
AACUUUUGACAAUGGAUCUCUUGGCUCUCGCAUCGAUGAAGAACGCAGCGAAAUGCGAUAAGUAAUGUGAAUUGCAGAACUCAGUGAAUCAUCGAAUCUUUGAACGCACCUUGCGCUCCCUGGUAUUCCGGGGAGCACGCCUGUUCGAGCGUCGCGAAAUUUCUCAAGCUUGGAUGGCCUUCUUGUCUGUCCUUAGCCUUGGCUGUUCGGCUUUGCGGUGUCCUUUGUUGGGGCGGCUGGCCUUAAAAGCGUUAGCUGAUCCUCGUGUGGCACUGGUUCUACUCAGCGUGAUAACAGUCUGAUCGCUGAGGACAUCUUUUGGGAUGGCCAGUUCUCAUUUGGGUUGCUUCCAAACUUGGUUUUGCAGAUUCUUCUAUCUGUGUUCCACGUUUCAGCUUUGACCUCGAAUCAGGUGGGACUACCCGCUGAACUUAAGCAUAUCAAUAAGCGGAGGCU